UACGAAGGGUGCAAGCGUUACUCGGAAUUACUGGGCGUAAAGCGUGCGUAGGUGGUCGUUUAAGUCCGUUGUGAAAGCCCUGGGCUCAACCUGGGAACUGCAGUGGAUACUGGGCGACUAGAAUGUGGUAGAGGGUAGCGGAAUUCCUGGUGUAGCAGUGAAAUGCGUAGAGAUCAGGAGGAACAUCCAUGGCGAAGGCAGCUACCUGGACCAACAUUGACACUGAGGCACGAAAGCGUGGGGAGCAAACAGG
Molecule: ribosomal RNA, 253 nt
Filed under: uncultured bacterium
Lineage: Bacteria
Also listed under: 1 other name
Description: partial 16S ribosomal RNA
Rfam family: Bacterial small subunit ribosomal RNA
Source: RNAcentral